Bubalus bubalis (water buffalo) is the source of this 1004-nucleotide long non-coding RNA. RefSeq lists it as uncharacterized. The transcript has 2 exons. The record is from RefSeq and is a predicted model, not a curated record. NCBI's taxonomy places the organism in Eukaryota, Metazoa, Chordata, Mammalia, Artiodactyla, Bovidae.
GUGACCCUGAUUAGUGACCCGCUGACGACAAUAGGCUGACCUCGCAGGGCACUUAUCACCUGGUGCCUGGGGUCCCGAGUUCUCCGGUGCAUUAGCUCGUUUAAUCCUCACCUGGACGCAGUCACAUGGCCCCUUCAGGAGCCCAGGGGCAGAGUGGGGCUGGGCAGGGACAACUCCCCUGGGGCCCCAGCGCUGGCCCCUGACCAAGCCGAGCACUGGCUAUGUAGGUGCUUCUGACUCCUCUUCCCUGGAUCUCUCCUCCAGUGGACUGGUGACUUCCCUGGAGGACUUGGAAUUUUGGCUGAAGUCCUAAAGCUAGCAGUAUUGGACCCCAAUCAUUCUAAAGAGAGUGCGGGAAACACCCAUGGGAGCCAGUGAUCAUCACCCCCAUGGGAGAGAAGAAGGACGUGUGUAAGGAGACUCCCAGGAGGGGAUUUGCAACAGGAGACACUCCAGCCCAGAGCAAGGUGAAAAAGGACUUUGCAGGUGUGAUCAAGCUAAGGAUCUUAGCUGGGGAGAUGAUCCUGGAUUAUCUGGGUGGGUCCAGUGUAAUCCCUGACUCCUUAUAAAAGGGAGAAGGCCAAGUGAGAAGGGCUGCAGAGGUUAGACUGAUGCCGCCAAGAGAUGCAGACAGCCUCUAGAAGCUGCAAGAGGCAAGAAAGAGAUUCUCCAUAGAGCCUUCUGGAGGAACCCGCCCGGAGACACCUGGAUUUUAGCCCCACAAGACUCAUUUCCAGUUUCUGCCCUCCAGAACUAUAGGAGAGUAAAUGUGUGUUGCUUUAAGCCACUAAAGUUGUGGUAAUUAACUACAGCUGCCUCGGAACACUAAUACCAUUGAACUUAUCCCUUACCAUUGAGAGCAUGAACUUGGCUCUCCUGGGGAUUCUUCUGGCCAGAAGUAAUACUGCUCUGAGGACAUUUACUGUUCCCUUAACAAGAGUUUCUGGGGCUGAUUCAGCAGCUCAGGCUGUUUCCCUCUUUCUCAUUCUUCAGGAUAGUAAAGU